AGUGAACGCUGGUGGUAGGCCUAACACAUGCAAGUCGAACGGCAGCACAGUAAGAGCUUGCUCUUACGGGUGGCGAGUGGCGGACGGGUGAGGAAUACAUCGGAAUCUACUUUUUCGUGGGGGAUAACGUAGGGAAACUUACGCUAAUACCGCAUACGACCUACGGGUGAAAGCAGGGGAUCUUCGGACCUUGCGCGAUUGAAUGAGCCGAUGUCGGGUUAGCUAGUUGGCGGGGUAAAGGCCCACCAAGGCGACGAUCCGUAGCUGGUCUGAGAGGAUGAUCAGCCACCCUGGAACUGAGACACGGUCCAGACUCCUACGGGAGGCAGCAGUGGGGAAUAUUGGACAAUGGGCGCAAGCCUGAUCCAGCCAUACCGCGUGGGUGAAGAAGGCCUUCGGGUUGUAAAGCCCUUUUGUUGGGAAAGAAAAGCAGCAGGUUAAUACCCCGCUGUUCUGACGGUACCCAAAGAAUAAGCACCGGCUAACUUCGUG
Molecule: ribosomal RNA, 492 nt
Filed under: uncultured bacterium
Lineage: Bacteria
Description: partial 16S ribosomal RNA
Rfam family: Bacterial small subunit ribosomal RNA
Source: RNAcentral